Long non-coding RNA from Scatophagus argus, 1126 nucleotides. RefSeq lists it as uncharacterized. Lineage: Eukaryota; Metazoa; Chordata; Actinopteri; Scatophagidae. The record is from RefSeq and is a predicted model, not a curated record. The transcript is spliced from 2 exons.
CUGCAGGGAAGCGAGAGAGGAAGUGCUACUUUCACAUCAUCGCUUCUGUUUUCUAGUUCUUCUUUCAAGAUGAACACGAGCGGUGAAGCGAAGUAAAAGCGGUUUAAUUCAUCUGUAACUUAUUGAAGUUUAGAGUGACACCCUGAAGAAUAAUGUCAGAAGUUAACACAGAGGAGAGAAGAGAAGUUGAGACAGAACUGCGUGACUUGGGAUUUGAAAGUGAUGAUUCACCCCCCUGCUCUGUGGGUGGGUUUGUCAUCAAGAUAUAAAUUUCAGGGUGGAUGUUCCUGGAGUCGAUGAUGUGGUGGAGGAGCAGCGCUCACCUUCGGCAGCGGGCAACAGCCCCACCUCCGAGACGCCUUCAUGAAGCAGCAGGUGGAGGACUCAGGGCAUCUGGUGUGAGCGUCACACUGAACCAUACCCUCCACGUCUUUGCUUUCCUCCUCCUCCUCGUCUUCCUCUUUCUCCUCCUUGUCCUCCGUCAUCACCUCGUCCUCCUCAGGUUUCUUCUCCUCCUCAGACUCCACUGUAGUUUUGGCUGUAGUUGCGGUCGUAGUCUGAGCCCCAGUGACAAAAGAUGGCACCUUCUGCAGCAUGGGCGUUGAGCCUGAGUUAUGGUUACAGGUGAGGGUGGUCAGAUCACAGGUGGUGCCAUGGGGGCAGCAGUGUUCAUGGUCAUCACAACACACCGCCUUUGGAACAAAAUGGCAGCAAGACUUUGCAUCAGAAACUUUGUUAAGGAUACAACAUGAAUCGUUUUCACAUUAAAAUGUCUAAAAGUGACUAAACCUUCAUAUAUUUUGCUGAAUUCUGUACUUAAAUCCCAAAUGUUUCCAACAAUGUUCAAAUCCAUAAUUUAAUUCAAAUUAACGGUGCGUCUCAUGUGCUCACGUGUCACUAAAACUUCCAGGAAAGAGUCAUAGUGAAGAAGAAGCAGUGAGUGUUUACCUCUGGCAGGGGACAGCAGGACCAGUCCCCUUCCUUGUUCUUGCAGCAGGUGGUGCCAUCAGGACAACUGGAGGUGGAGUCACAGGUAACAUUCCCCACCUGUACGACCUGCCUGGGGAGUGCGGGUAUCUUCUCGACCCACGGCACAGAGCAUGUGUCGUCAUCACAUGUCUGGGCA